GACGAACGCUGGCGGCGUGCCUAAUACAUGCAAGUAGAACGCUGAAGGAGGAGCUUGCUUCUCUGGAUGAGUUGCGAACGGGUGAGUAACGCGUAGGUAACCUGCCUGGUAGCGGGGGAUAACUAUUGGAAACGAUAGCUAAUACUGCAUAAUAGUAGAUGUUGCAUGACAUUUGCUUAAAAGGUGCAAUUGCAUCACUACCAGAUGGACCUGCGUUGUAUUAGCUAGUUGGUGGGGUAACGGCUCACCAAGGCGACGAUACAUAGCCGACCUGAGAGGGUGAUCGGCCACACUGGGACUGAGACACGGCCCAGACUCCUACGGGAGGCAGCAGUAGGGAAUCUUCGGCAAUGGACGGAAGUCUGACCGAGCAACGCCGCGUGAGUGAAGAAGGUUGUCGGAUCGUAAAGCUCUGUUGUAAGAGAAGAACGAGUGUGAGAGUGGAAAGUUCACACUGUGACGGUAUCUUACCAGAAAGGGACGGCUAACUACGUG
RNAcentral lists this ribosomal RNA (495 nucleotides) under uncultured bacterium. Its description in RNAcentral is "partial 16S ribosomal RNA". It matches the Rfam family "Bacterial small subunit ribosomal RNA", at positions 28 to 507 of the family's 1533-position model. The record is from RNAcentral.